Long non-coding RNA from Eriocheir sinensis (Chinese mitten crab), 5301 nucleotides. RefSeq lists it as uncharacterized. NCBI's taxonomy places the organism in Eukaryota, Metazoa, Arthropoda, Malacostraca, Decapoda, Varunidae. The transcript is spliced from 2 exons. The record is from RefSeq and is a predicted model, not a curated record.
AUUUCUACAUUUUAUUCAUACAUUUAUAAUAUACGAGUCAUACAUGUAUUAGAGUCUACACGGGGUACACACACACACACACACACACACACACACACACACACACACACACACACACACACACUCCGAUAAUUACUAACAUCAAGAGACACAGAGUUGCCAACAUCACCGAAGUUUAGAGAUACAACCGCAGUGCUGCCAAUUAAAGGGGAGAAGUUGGCACGCCUGUCUCUCCUGUACAAGGUGGAUUGGCAGGACACACACACGCACAUACAUACAUACUUACACACAAAUACAUACAUACAUACAUACAUAUAUUCAUUCAUUCAUUUAUUCAUACCUACAUUCGUUUAUACAUGAGUCCAUACAUACAUACAUACAUACAUACAUACAUACACACAUACAAAUUUCUAAAGACAUUCGUGUACACACCAAAUUGGGGGGGGGGGGGUGUAAGGGGGUAGGGAAAAAAGGUUUACAUAUAUGUACGUAAAAAAAUCACCAUCCAUGUAUGUAUAUUUUUUUUGUCAUGAACGUACACAUAAAGCAAAUCGGUGCACAUGAAGAUCAACUUACAUGUGCACUUGUUGAGGCUAGCACGACGUACAUGUGUAAGUUCCACCGUGUGUACUUACUGUGACACGCACAUACACACACAUACACAGGAUCGGGUUGUACAUGUGGAGUGAGUGGAUACACACAUAUGUGAGUGUGUACGUUUUUUUGGUGCAUACGGGACCAGGUGGAGAGGUAUACACGUUCCCCAUACAUUAGGAAGGGAGGGAGGAGGAGGAGGAGGAGGAGGAGGAGGAGGAGGAGGAAGGGAAGGGUGGAAUAGAGAGAGGGAGAUAAGGAAGGAAGGAAAAGAUGGAAGGAAGAGGAGAAGGAGGAGGAAAGGAAGGGAGGAAUAGAGAGAGGGAGGUAAAAAGGAAGGAAAAGAUGGAAGGAAGAAUAUAUGAACAGAGGGAAGGAAAGGAUGGGAAAGAGGAACAGAGGGUAGAAUUAAAGGAAGGAAAAAUAGGGAAAGGAAUAGAGGAAAGAAGGAAAGCAAUAAAAGGAAAAAAAUAGAGGAAGAGAGGGAAGGAAAAAUGGGAAGGAGGAAUAGAUGGAGGGAGGAUAAAAAUGGGAGGAAGAGAAGUAGGAAGGAUGAGAGGAAGGGUAGGAAGGAAGGAGGGAAAGAAGGUGGAGGGAUGGAGGGAAUGGGAGAUAUAGAGAAAAAAAAACGCAGGAAAUCAGAAAGACAUGAACUGAGAGAGGAAGGAGAGAAGAUUAAAGAGGAAGGAGGAAAGGAGAAUCGGACAAGAAAAUGAUGAAGAGAGAGAGAGAGAAGGAAGGAGGACAGAGAGGGGGAGGAGGGGAGGAAUGAGGCACGGAGGAAAGAAAAAAAUACUGGAGCGGAGGAGGAAGUGAGGAAUUAGGGGACCCUGAAAGCAAGGAGGAAGGAAAAGUGGGGCAGAAGGAAGGUAGGAAGGAAGGAGGGACGAGGGAGUAAGGAAGGAAGGAAGGAAGAGAAGUGUGACAGAAGAAGGGGAGGAAGAAGAGCUGAACCAUGGAGGAAAGGAAAUAUGAAGAAGGAGGAGGAGGAGGAGGAGGAGACAGGCUUCUUAUAUAUGGCAAAACAUCGACUUUUUAUGAGUAACUGAAUAUUGGAUGAGUGAGUGAGUUAUUGAAGGAGAGCGAAGGAGAACCAGGUAAGAAAGCAAUUUUGAGCCUGUGAAUGUGAUUGCUCAGGUAAGAUAUCCAAAAAUGAGGUCAUUAGCGUAAUAUAUGACAAGGAGAUGAGAUGAAGAGGCCAGGAGGUGAGGAGGUGUAUGUAUUAAUGAAGAGAUGAGAGGAAAGGGUUAAGCUGAUGAGAAGAUGAGGUGAGAAAAUGAAUGGAUGAGUAACUGAAGUGAAAUUAUGUUCUUCCUGACGUGUUAUUCAUUACGUGACGGUUGGCUCAUUCAGUGUAUGACUCGUGUGACAUCCAUAUUGCUUUCUUUGUCCUCUCCUCCUCCUUCUCCUCCUUUUCCUUCUAUUCGUCCUACUCCUUCUCUGCCUCCUCCUCUUCUUUCUCCUUAUCCAUUGCUUUCUCCUUCUUCCUCUUUCUCCUCUUCCUCUUUCAACUCACUCCCUCUUUCUCCUUUCUCAUAAACUCCUUUUUCUCCACCAAUAUUUUCCUUCUAUUAACUCUUGCACACUCCUCCUCUUCCUCUUAUCCUCUUCCUCCUCCUCUUCCUCUCUCAACUCACUUUCUCUUUCUCCUUUCUCAUAAACUCCUUUUUCUCCACCAAUAUUUUCCUUCUAUUAAAUUUUGCACACUCACCCUCUUCCUCUUAUCCUCUUCCUCCUCCUCUUCCUCUUUCAACUCACUUUCUCUUUCUCCUUUCUCAUAAACUCCUUUUUCUCCACCAAUAUUUUCCUUCUACUAAAUCUUCCACACACCUCUCUUCCUCUUAUCCUCUUCCUCCUCUUCCUCUUCCUCCCUAAUAAGCCAAACAAAACACCUAAUUUUAGGCUAAUAAACUCUGCUUCAGGUGAGCAUGAACUAAUUAGCCCUUGAGACAGGUGAUCCUCUCAAGAUUAUGCCUCGUCUUAUCCUUUUUUAUCAUCAUUUUUGGUUUUGUUUUGGUUUCUUAUCUUUUUCCUUUUUUUGUGAGAUGAAAAGUAUAGGAAGGGAUGUGAAAGGGGUGGGCAGAGAAGGUGAGGAGGGUCGAAAAGGUAUGGGAAGGGGGGAAAGGGUGUGAAUGGGGGAGGUGAGGUAAGGUGUGGGGGGGUUGAAAAGUAUGGGAAGGGGUGUAUUUGGGUGAAGAGGAUGUGAAGGGGGGGAUUAGGUUAGGUUGGGGGUCUGAAAACUAUGGAAAGGGCUGUAUAGGUAUGUAAAGGGAGGGUGUGAAGGGGGAAGGUGAUAAAUUGAGGGGUUGAAAGAUAUGGGAAGGGCUGUAGAGGCAUUUAAAGGGAGGAUGUGAAGGGGGAGGUGAGUAGCUAAGUUCCGGGGUCUGAAAUGUACGGGAAAUGGUGAAAAGGGGGUGUGAAGGGGGAGGUGAGGUUAGAUCCGGGGUCUGAAAAGUAUGGGGGAAGGGCUGCAUAAGGGAGAUGUGAAGGAAGGUGUGGGGUGGGGGUAUAGGGUGUGUACCACGGAUGGGUGUACCAGGGGUGGGGGUGGGGGGUGCCUACACUUAAUCUACACCUAUUUACAGAUACAAAAAUAGCGUUCAAAAAAAGCGAUUAUUUUAUGUUAGUUUUAUUCUACACUUAUUCACCCGGCGCGCUGCUCCUCGAGGUAUAUGUAUAGAUAAUGUAUAGUGUAUGUAUCUUUUAUGUGGAGUUUAUGUAUCUUCUGUUUUUUUUUUCUUUAGGACCGCAGUGAGUUGUUUAUGGUUGUUUGUUUGUCUGUUUGUUCUUGCUAUCAUUGUAGGCCUAUUUUCUUUUUUUUUAUGUAGGCCUUGAAAGCGUCUUCUUCUAUUUCUUCUUCUUCUUCUUCUUCUUCUUCUUCUUCUUCUUCUUUAGUUUCGUAAGCAACAUACAAAAAUAUUAUAUACGCUAUGCAUGUGUGGUUAUUUUUUUAUAUAUAUUUAUUUGUUUAUCUAUAUUUAUUUAUUUAUUUAUGUAUUAAUUUAUCUUAUUCCUGUGCUUGAGUCAUGCAUUACUGCUGUAUAACGACCAUGAUGACACACACACACACACACACACACACACACACAGACAAACACACACACAAACACAGGGAUACAGUAGGUCUAUAUAUCUUUAUACAUAAGUAACAUCAUCAUCAUCAUCAUCACCAUCACUGAAUGCAGAAAUACAGUAUAUAUAUAUUUAAAGAGGAAAAAAGUGCUCCCUUAAUUAACAAACUUCCUUAAAUUUACCCAAUUACCCUUUUUAUUUUUACCUAUAGGCCUACCCUUUUUUUUAUCUACAUAUCUACCCUUAAUAUUCACCUACCUACCCUUUUUGUUUACCUACCCACCCAUGUUUUUACCUAUCUACUUUUGUUUACCCUUUUUUAAAACCCACCUACCCUUUUCUUUUUGCCUGUUUGCCUAUCACUGUUUACCCAUUCUUUACCCACCUACCCACUUUUUUUUACCCACCUACCUUUGUGUACCUACCUAUGUAGCCUUGUUUCCCCAUCUCCCUAUUUUUGUUUAUCUUUCUUACCCACCUGCCCACGUUUUUACCCAUUUACCCUUAUGUUUCUUACCCAUAUACCCACCUUCACCCACCUACCCACUUUUUUUUAUACCCAUUUACCCCCUUUUUAAACCACUUUCACUUGAUUUACCCACCUAUGUUCCCCUUGUUUACCCACCUACCCACUUGUUUACCUGUCUCCCUUGUUUACCUAUCUACCUGCCCCUGUUUACGUAUCUACCUGCCCAUGUUUACGUAUCUACCUGUCCAUGUUUACGUAUCUACCUGGCUCACCUGUCAUCGCCCCAUCACACCGACCAUCGUCUCCUGUGAUUGGCCUGUGGGAGGGAGAGAUUACCUGCGUAUUGCACUCGUCAAUUAGCGCUACGUAAGCCGGACACACACCUGUUCAAUCACGGCCCUCAGGUGGAUCCGCCGGAGAUUACCUGGACCGCCUCAUUAGCUCACCCAGGUAUAUACACCGGCUAGAGAUUACCUGUAUAUUGCACUUAAUUAAACCACUACUCGUACCUGUGGCUCACCUUUCGCCCAGGUAACCAAUUAACCCAACACGUAAUAUAUCUCCAAGCAGACACACAGACAGACAGACACACCGAUAAUAAGAAUGAUAGAAAUCCCUGCUUGUUCAUCUCUUUAAAAUCCACGGACUUAAAACCUAAAAACUCAUUCACACGCGAUAUUACAAAGGAGAAAAUAUAAUAGACACGCCCCAAAUAGGUACAUCAAUAUAUAUGACUAUAGUACGAUACACACACACGCACACACGCACACACACCGCCGCCUUACGCCUUAGUUAAGUGAAAGAUCGCCUUACCCUAGUAUUAAAUGCCCUGAAAUGCCAUACUGCCACAGCGACGCGAUCAGCUAACAUUAGUAGUCUACAGAGUAAUGGGAAGAAGUGGUUUGAGCGAGUCACCCCUCUAAAAAAUGCCUGUUUGCUGCCGCGUUCCCCGUUUUCUUUAGUAAUAUAUUCCGGAGAGAGAGAGAGAGAGAGAGAGAGAGAGAGAGAGAGAGAGAGAGAGAGAGAGACCAUUACACGAGAGGAAGGACUGUCAGAGGAAACUAAAGCGGUCUGUCACUAUUGAGCGGAAAGCUGAUAUCAAAGGAAAGAGAGAGAGAGAGAGAGAGAGAGAGAGAGAGAGAGAGAGAGAGAGAGAGAGAGAGAGA